UACAGAGGGGGCAAGCGUUGUUCGGAAUUACUGGGCGUAAAGGGCGCGUAGGCGGCCUGUUAAGUCGAACGUGAAAUCCCCGGGCUCAACCCGGGAACUGCGUCCGAUACUGGCAGGCUUGAAUUCGGGAGAGGGAUGUGGAAUUCCAGGUGUAGCGGUGAAAUGCGUAGAUAUCUGGAGGAACACCGGUGGCGAAGGCGGCAUCC
RNAcentral lists this ribosomal RNA (206 nucleotides) under uncultured bacterium. Its description in RNAcentral is "partial 16S ribosomal RNA". It matches the Rfam family "Bacterial small subunit ribosomal RNA", at positions 524 to 729 of the family's 1533-position model. The record is from RNAcentral.